AGCCACAACAGCUAACCCCGUCGCGGCGGAUCCCACGCCGGACGCCCCCUCCCCUCGCUCCGCUCGGGUGUGAGCCCCUCGCCGCCGCCGCCCGUCGCCGGAGGGCGAGGAGGAGGCGGGAAAGAUGAAGACGACCAAGGGGGGCAAGGUGAUGAACCCCACCGAUGCCUUCCGCAAGGAGCAGCGGAAGAAGGAGCUCAAGCGGAACAAAAAAGAAAGGAAGAAGGUGCGGGAGGUUGGUAUUUUAAAAAAGGAUCCAGAGGCUAUACGGGAGCAGAUUGAGAAAUUGGAGAAGAUGAAGGCUGAUGGUGCUCUUGACAAGGCUAGAAAACAUAAGAAAAGACAGCUAGAGGAUACAUAUAAUCUUAUUGUUAAGAAACGAAAGGAAUAUGAACAGAAAAUGAAAGAGAAGGGUGAGCAGCCGGUUAUGUUUGGCCAUCUUCCACCAAAGAGGCGGCCUGCAGCAGAGGAAGAUGAUAGAGCUAAUCCUAAACCUGAGGACUCUGUUUACUAUCAUCCAACCUUAAAUCCAUCUGGAGCACCACCACCUGGAAAACCUCCCAUGUACAAAUCAUCUAUAGGACCAAGGAUCCCACUGCCUUCGUCAUCCAACGCCGGGGCCACAUCUUCCAUGUCAGAGUCUGAAGCAGGUCCAUCCACCCUGCCACCCCCUCCACCGCCGCCACCAUUGCCAGCCACCUCAGAACCCAUUGAUCCAUCUGCUCCUUUCCCUUUGCCCCCACUCCCACCACCGCCCCCACCACCACCUAAGCCUGUCAGUGACUCAGCACUGCCAAGCUUACCGCCGCCACCUCCGCCUCCGCCGGGCCCACCACCAAGAGAACCUGCAUCAGGUCAUACACUACUUCCACCACCCCCGCCUCCACCGCAGAGGUCAUCUGGUGCAAACGAGAGCAUGACAGAUUCUGCUCAGCCCUCAGUUGUCCUUCCUCCACCGCCUCCACCGCCUGGGUUGCCACCAAAAUCAAAUGACGUGGAAGCUGCUGGCACUUCAAAGGAUACUCCUGGAUUUAAACAAGAUACCACUGCAAGGAUCUUACCACCACCACCUCCACCACAAUCAUCAAAUUUGCCACCUCUACCACCAAGGCCCCCAUCGCAACCUGAUAUGCUAGCUCCUGGAGCCAUGAGAUUUCCGCCACCGCCACCAGAUUCAAGGCCACAGUUUAUGGCUCCUGGAGUUGCCAGGCCUCCUCCACCUCCUCCAGGGUUACCCCCAUCUCAGAUGCCAAUGCCACCAUAUGGCGUACUUCCUGGUCCACCACCGAUGCCUAGGCCUCCAUUUUUGCCAGGACCCCCUAUGCAUCCAGAAGAGUUUGCUGCCUUUGGACCAAGGCCUCAGUUACCUCAGCAGCCAUCAUAUGUGAAGUCAGCAGCCCCAACAGUUGUCAAGAGACCAUUGGCACAGCACACUCCUGAGCUGACGGCUAUGGUGCCUGCAUCAGUUCGGGUCAAGAGAGAAUCCGCCCUCCCGAAACCAAAACCAAAGGCGCAGCAGCAGCAGCAGUCAUCAUCGCCAUCCAUUUCAAAGCCUUCAGUGACCCUUAUAAGAAGUGAUGUCCAGCCAUCUUCGUCAGCACCCAAGCCGCCAAGCAUUGAUGAUUCAUAUAUGGCAUUCUUGGAAGAUAUGAAGGAAUUAGGUGCUCUUGAUGGGUAACUCAAGCAGAUAUGUCUGAUUGCACUAUAGCUUCUGCUGUUUGAACAUGAGCACCAUCAUUGAUCUGUGGCUACUUGUUGGGAUCUUAGCUUCUUAGACGCCCAGACAGGGAGCAUGAACAGUAUGAAGGUGGCAAUAAACGUAGGUGCUGAAUUCUCCAAUAAUAGUUAGAAAAUUCAACCCCUUACACUGUGGAGAGGGGACUAUUUAUACCUCUAGCCCUCGGCCAGGUUUUCCUAAAUUGCCCCCUCCUAACUCAUUUACUGCUCACUUCUAGCCGGCUUCGGGGUAAAAUUAUAAGGUGAGAGGUGUACAAAUCCAACCUCACGUAUUCGAGAGGUACAAAUCCGACCUUCUCACAUAUUCACGUUUCACACACAUCUACAACUGACGAAGAUUUUCACUUCCUUCGGGGACCUCCGGGAGUCACAGCCAUGAAGGUUCCAUCAACGAGCAAUCAGCCGUCAUCUUUGUUCCCGAAGUUGAUCAAUUUACCCGAAGGUCCUGGUCUUAGAACUUGUGUUUCUGAGCAACCGUUCGUCACCUUCGGCCGGACGAAGGUGAUAUCCUUCGUCACCGAAGGUAUUGACCUUUACGCUUGCGCUUCUGGGCAGCCAUCCGUCACCAUCGGUCUACAGAAGGUGAUAUCUUUCGUCCCGAAGGUCAUGGUCUUUGAGCUUGCGCUUCUGAGUGUUCAUCCGAUACAUUCGGUAUGCUUGGCUUCCUCUCGUUGGGGCCCUGCAAACGAGUUAAGGAGCAUUUUCGAUGGUGAGGGCUUGACCCGAAGGUCCAAUCCCCAACAGUAGCCCCUCGAGGGCAAGGUCCGAAGCCGAUGGUCCGAAUCCGCGUUGAAAAGAAGAUUGCAAGUAACCUUCGGGAAGCUCCCGAGGAAAAACGUCUCCCAAACUGUCGGCUGCAACAGUCAGUUUUGGUGGUUUAUGUGUUGUGCUCCUAUUGCGCCGCUUGGGCGGCCGACUCCUCGAUUUUACUGUUGGUACUGUUACUUUCCCUCGCCUAUAUAAGUGGAGGGGGGUUAAAUUCUGUGCCCUCUCGAGCUUUGCUUACCUUCGGCGCUUUCCACUAUUAAGCGUUUCUUUCGAAGGUUUCGUUAUCGUGCGUGGUCAAGUUGGUCAUUUUCCUCGGUGUAAGUGGAUUUGUGGUUCAUGGCUCGUACUAAGCAAACAGCGAGAUUGAUCGAAGGUUCGUUUGAACCCUUUUUUCUAAUUUGCUUUUCUUCGUUUUUGUGUAGAUAUGGCAUUCCUUAAGAGGGCGGUUCUUCGUGCAGACUCUGGUCCAGCUGCCGAAGGAGAGGCGGGUGGUUCGCAGCCUUCUCAGCAGCAGCAGUCCAGCGAAAGUCUUUCGGCGGUGUCCGCGGACGUGUCGGAACUAAUGGCUCCGGAGAAACGUAAGACUUUGCUUUUCGAGCCAUCUGUCGUUUCUCAGAGCACGAUAGACUUCUACGUUUCGAAGGGCUAUUUCGCCGAGGGUAUUUGUCGACCUCCGGGGGCCGAAAUGAUUCUUGUACCGGAGACCGGCGAGGUUGUGGUCUUUAAGGAUUUUUUUUACAGCGGGGCUUAGGCUUCCGAUGGAUCCAAUUGUGCCGAAUGUUUUGGACCCAUUUAACGUGAAGCUCCACCACUUUACCCCGAACGGGAUUGUUGCAUUGGCCAAGUUUUUGUGGGUGGUGCGGACCUUCGGAGGGGAAGUGCCCGUGGAUGCUUUUUGUAGGCUUUUUCAGCUGCACUGCCAGCCUCGUAAUGUUUAUGUAGAUGAUGAUGCCGAGCUUAGCGAGGUUCAGAACGGCUGCUGCACCUUCGUUCCUCGCAAGCCGAACAAAAGGACCGGCCUAGUGAAGGUUAUGCUCUCGACAGCUUAUAAGAACAAGUGGGAGGGGAACUGGUUGGGAUACUGGUUUUAUGCCAAGUUUGGCUUUCCUGAUCCCGAAUGUUCUGUCGAGGAGAAGUAUCUGCUGGCUUCGGACAUUGAGAUGUUCGAUCACGUCUAUCAGCCUGCCUUCAGCAAGCAUGGGCCGGGUUUCAAAUCGUGUCUGGAGGCCUUCAUGACGGCUUGCCAAGUUUGCGGUGGCAGGGAUGCUGUCGAGGAAUUUCUGGCUGCGAAGGUUUGGCCUUUGGCUGCUGGUUGGUCUCCGUCGAGGUUCGAGCGCAAGCGCUUUGCUGGUUUGAAGUAUGAUGUGACUUUUCCGGUUUUUGGGCUUCGAAGGUCCGAACGUUCCAGUGACGAGGUUAUUUUGGGUGAGCUAGAGCGGCAGGCUGCGGAGAUACUGGGUCCUUGGAACAAAAAGGAGUAUCAUUCUUUGGUGGAGGUGUGCGGCGAUAACCUUCGGUUGAACCGGUGUUUGGCUGAGAUGGGCGUGGCCUACGAGGCUCGGCCGGUGCCGGCGAAUGCCGUUCCAAGAAUGACUCCGCCGGGGAACGUUGGUUCGGAGGUUCCUGGGUCGAAGUCCAGAGGUAAGGCUAAGGUGGAGGAGGCGGGGAGCUCCGGGGCUACUAGCACGCGAGGUCGCGGGCGUGGUCGGCAACCUUCGAGCACGAGGGUUUCUGUUGCGAGGGCUGAGAGCGCCAAGAGGAAGGCGCAAGAUGAGGAGGUUUCUUCGGGCGAUAGCGGUACGCCCUCAUUCAUGGAAGAGCUCAUGGGGACUGUGGGCGGGGAGAUUGUAGUUCCCGAGGGGAGGCUUUUUAGAUCCCGUUAUGAUCUUAGCGAUGAGUACGAGACCAUGCUUUUUGGUUCCGGACGUCGGGUUGAGGUGGCGAGAGCGCUGAUUAACCUUCACUGUCCUCCGAAGGUAUGACGAAACGCCGGAGGAUUCAGAGUCUUGUCAAGACUGGGGCUAAGCAUGCGGAUAUUUCGAAGCCGCCUGAGCCUAGGCCUAUUGGGCCUGUGGUUGGUGUCCCGAAGGAUGCAGCGAUGACGACGGCGGUCGCCACACCUUCCCUUGUGGCGGGUGCCGAGGAGGGGGAGAUCGUGGUUGGUGAGACGCUGCUCUCUCUCAAGGGCGGGGAUUUCCCAGGCGGAGUCUCGGCUCUACCUACGGAUAGGGAGGUGGAUGUUCUGGAGGGGUUGGGCUUCGAUGAAGCCGGUAAGCUUCGUUUCCUUGGUUUUGACAGCUCUUGGUUUGUUUGUGAUCUUAUAGGGUCCCUCUUUUUAUUUCCUUCGCAGCUGUGUCUGCGUCGAUGAAGCAACUUUUGGCGUUGAUGCAAGGGCCUGGCCGGACCGGGAUUCUCCCCCCUGAGAAAGGUAAUGCGGGGUUUUAUUUUGUUUAGCUUUUGUUCAAUUUUUGGUGUCCCCGAAGGUCAUUUUGUGUUUGAUUUAGAGUUUAAUGCAGCUGUGGCAGAAACAUCCACUUCUGAUGCUGCAUUCAUCGUGGCCGACUUGAGCAAGAAGCUUGCCCACGCUAGCCGAAUUUUGAUGCAGAAGGCCAAGGCGGACGUGGACCUUCGGGUCAAGAGCGCCACUGAGAAGCUGAGCCUGUCGGAGAAGCUACGGCGGGCUGAGGCGGAGGUUCUCGCUCUGAGUGAUGAGAACACACAAUUGAAGGGGAAGUGUACCAGGCUGGAGGCGGCAGCGAGGGACAACGAGAAGGUUCUUGAAAACCUUCGGAAGACGGUAGAGGAUGACGCCAAUGAGAAGAAAGCUCUUAGGGAUAAGGUUAGUGAGUUGGAGUCGAUUCAGACUAGGGUGGUGGAGCUCGAGGGGGUUUUCUCGGAGGUAGCCGCUCGGGCCGACGCGGUGUACCAAGAGUACAGGAAGGCUCUUGAUGCCCUUGGAGCGGAGCCUUUGCCCUUGCCUGAACCGACCGAAGGUCCCCAAGUUUUCUUUCAACUUUUGGGCUAGCUGCUAUCGGAGUUCGAGGGCCUCGGGGAGGUGAUGAACGUUGCAAAUGAUAACGCGGCGUCCGUCUCCUUUGAGAGGCUUGUUUGGAACCUUCUCCGUGCCGGCGCCGUCGACCUUUCUAAGAUCGAAGGGGGUUUUCAGUACGUUCCCUACGAGGGUUUGUCCGAAGAGGUUGACAGGAUUCAGAAUGUCAAGAUUGCGUACUUCGAGCGCUUCUGGGAGCCUUCGGGGAAGGUCGCUGUUAGGACCCUCGCGGCUGCUGCGACAGGGGAAUUAAAUCCUGAUCAGCCUUCAGUGGUCGAUGGGACACACGAAGCGAGCAGGUCUCCUUCGGGACGCGAAGCGGACAGAUCGCCGAGAGCUCAGGUGUAAAGACUAGCUUGUAGGUGUUUGUUUUGGGGGGCUUUAGAACUUGUUUGUAAAUAUUCCCAUGCUGCAGGGCGUGAACAAUGCUAGGGUAUCGAUGAGCUGGGAGGCUUUCAGCCUUGCUCGUCCCGGAUGCAGCGUUGCAGAAUACUUGUUCUGGUCCGGACGUGAUUCAUUGUAAUCUUUUUUCUUUCGUUCGAAUGUUAACUUCGCGUUGCUUCUC
Panicum virgatum (switchgrass) is the source of this 6119-nucleotide RNA transcript. It is a transcript of the gene named protein EARLY FLOWERING 5-like, with no coding region annotated. The transcript is spliced from 10 exons. Lineage: Eukaryota; Viridiplantae; Streptophyta; Magnoliopsida; Poales; Poaceae. The record is from RefSeq and is a predicted model, not a curated record.